GAUAGUGGCGAACGGGUGAGUAACACGUGGGCAAUCUGCCCUGCACUCUGGGACAAGCCCUGGAAACGGGGUCUAAUACCGGAUACUGAUCCUCGCGGGCAUCUGCGAGGUUCGAAAGCUCCGGCGGUGCAGGAUGAGCCCGCGGCCUAUCAGCUUGUUGGUGAGGUAAUGGCUCACCAAGGCGACGACGGGUAGCCGGCCUGAGAGGGCGACCGGCCACACUGGGACUGAGACACGGCCCAGACUCCUACGGGAGGCAGCAGUGGGGAAUAUUGCACAAUGGGCGAAAGCCUGAUGCAGCGACGCCGCGUGAGGGAUGACGGCCUUCGGGUUGUAAACCUCUUUCAGCAGGGAAGAAGCGAAAGUGACGGUACCUGCAGAAGAAGCGCCGGCUAACUACGUGCCAGCAGCCGCGGUAAUACGUAGGGCGCAAGCGUUGUCCGGAAUUAUUGGGCGUAAAGAGCUCGUAGGCGGCUUGUCACGUCGGUUGUGAAAGCCCGGGGCUUAACCCCGGGUCUGCAGUCGAUACGGGCAGGCUAGAGUUCGGUAGGGGAGAUCGGAAUUCCUGGUGUAGCGGUGAAAUGCGCAGAUAUCAGGAGGAACACCGGUGGCGAAGGCGGAUCUCUGGGCCGAUACUGACGCUGAGGAGCGAAAGCGUGGGGAGCGAACAGGAUUAGAUACCCUGGUAGUCCACGCCGUAAACGGUGGGCACUAGGUGUGGGCAACAUUCCACGUUGUCCGUGCCGCAGCUAACGCAUUAAGUGCCCCGCCUGGGGAGUACGGCCGCAAGGCUAAAACUCAAAAGGAAUUGACGGGGGCC
RNAcentral lists this ribosomal RNA (820 nucleotides) under Streptomyces sp. RNAcentral's name for it is "bacterial SSU rRNA". It matches the Rfam family "Bacterial small subunit ribosomal RNA", at positions 91 to 921 of the family's 1533-position model. Lineage: Bacteria; Bacillati; Actinomycetota; Actinomycetes; Kitasatosporales; Streptomycetaceae. The record is from RNAcentral.